This is a long non-coding RNA of Bombus terrestris (buff-tailed bumblebee), 1614 nucleotides long. RefSeq lists it as uncharacterized. The transcript has 2 exons. The record is from RefSeq and is a predicted model, not a curated record. Lineage: Eukaryota; Metazoa; Arthropoda; Insecta; Hymenoptera; Apidae.
AAUAGAAAUUCUUCAUAUGCUACCUUCAUACGUGGAGUCAUUCGUUUUCUAUGGUAUAUACGAGUAUGAUGUGCCCAUAGCGGAGCCUUUCUACCGUUAAGGAUUAAAGCUAGAUUCACACUAGCGAUCACGGUACGGUAAGAUUACGCCAAGUCAGCCACCGGUCAAAAUCACUUGCGCGUAAUCCAACGAGAGCAUCCACAGCAGGCGGUUCGAUCGAGUCGAACGAAAAUCUGUCGACCGCGGCGCCGGAUCAAGAUCGCCGUCAACAGUUGGAACGGUGAACGAGCGUCUAAUCGAAUUUGUAGGAAAUUGCAGCGAACCAUAUGAUCUCAGUGGCAAAAAAUAUUACGACACAUCUGACAAGAUGAAACGGUGGAUGGAAAUAGAGAAGAAUGAUCUGGAAACUUCUACAGCCACGCAGCUAUCGCAAUUACUUCCAUUUAUCAUUUCCACUCAUCGCAUUACUACCGCAAACGUAUCUUAUUCGCCAUCUUAUGCAUCCUCGUAAAAGAUUAACGCGAGUUUCGCUUAUUCCUUGUCCGGGCGAACAAAUAAAGAUGAGAGUGACUGGCGACGAGAUUUGAUUGCUUCUGAUCGCUCAGUGUGAAUGCCUCGGUCAAAUCCUAGAUUUUGAUUGAUCGUGACCUGUGACCGCACCUUUGACCGCUAGUGUGAAUCAGACUUAAUGGUUGCGAAUAUAACGUCACGGAAAAUUGUAAACGUUAACUGACCGAUUUUAUGAUCUGGCUGGGUCGCUUUUAUCAAAUGUACGUGUAGAUGGCGCAUCUGACGCUUGCAUAUGAAAUCCUAGUGUUACUAGCCGUUGCUCGCGAACCAUGAAGAUAUCCCAUUAUCGCUCACGCGGCAACAGACGUGAUCGUAGUAUCGCUCGAACCUCCUUUAUUUCACGUAGCUGCACGCCGUGACGUUAAUUGUCCUGUGAUUCGGGGCGAAUUUCAUCGGGCGCGUCCAUGGGGGACGCUGAGAGGGGUUGGAAAAGCGGAAACAGAAAGAGAGAACGCCGCUCGCCGUCGGAUGAUGAAUGGAGGAGUGAUGGUGGUUUCGCGUGCAAAACCAAAAUACGAGUGGAAUGGGGAAGAAAAGUACGAGAGGAAGACAGCGAGGCUCGAACAGGGUGGAAGAUUAGGGGUUGCCUGCGAUUCGUGAUUUAUAAACGUCCUUUCCAAGAAGCCUCUUUCUCCUCGAGGCCUCCCCUCCGUCAUUCCGCCAGCCCUCCGCCCAUCAUCUGGGCGCCCCCCCCUUUUCUUUUGUUUAUAAUCAUCGACACCGCCCGCCUAGCGGGGGCAAUCGAACGGCGAUCUCGGAAGUCGCCAACGCGAUUUGUUUUUGUCGCUAUACAGCCCGGAAUCCUACAUCGAUCCUGUCACGUCCAGCCCUAUGAAAGAUGCGUGCUCUCGUCGGGCCGACCUUUCUUGGAAAGGAAAUUUAUGAGCCUCGCCCGUUAAUUGUGCCCUCACGAAGGGACUUUCUUUUCACAGGCAAGCAUUCAGCUCGGGAGAAAAUUUGAUACGCUUGGUCUCCAUCGGACGUAGCCUCUUAUGUAAGAAAUAUUUUAAAAAGUUGUAUAAUUAUAUAACAGUGUUCAUUCGU